Molecule: ribosomal RNA, 449 nt
Filed under: uncultured bacterium
Lineage: Bacteria
Description: partial 16S ribosomal RNA
Rfam family: Bacterial small subunit ribosomal RNA
Source: RNAcentral
AGCGAACGCUGGCGGCAGGCCUAACACAUGCAAGUCGAACGGAUCCUUCGGGAUUAGUGGCGGACGGGUGAGUAACACGUGGGAACGUGCCCUUUGGUUCGGAACAACUCAGGGAAACUUGAGCUAAUACCGGAUGUGCCCUUCGGGGGAAGGAUUUAUCGCCAUUGGAGCGGCCCGCGUCUGAUUAGCUAGUUGGUGAGGUAAAGGCUCACCAAGGCGACGAUCGGUAGCUGGUCUGAGAGGAUGAUCAGCCACAUUGGGACUGAGACACGGCCCAAACUCCUACGGGAGGCAGCAGUGGGGAAUCUUGCGCAAUGGGCGAAAGCCUGACGCAGCCAUGCCGCGUGAAUGAUGAAGGUCUUAGGAUUGUAAAAUUCUUUCACCGGGGACGAUAAUGACGGUACCCGGAGAAGAAGCCCCGGCUAACUUCGUGCCAGCCGCCGCAGUAA